Molecule: ribosomal RNA, 738 nt
Filed under: Triticum aestivum (bread wheat)
Lineage: Eukaryota; Viridiplantae; Streptophyta; Magnoliopsida; Poales; Poaceae
Description: partial small subunit ribosomal RNA
Source: RNAcentral
AUGCAUGACUCCAUUUUCUCCGAGCAGGUGCGACUUCCCUCCGCUCCCCGCGCGCUACAUAAUCUCUCACCUCGUGCAUCGCUGACACUUGAGCACCUCAACACUUACGUGUUACCUAGCAAGCUAGCUAGAUCAUCCAUGGCGGACAUACGGUGCGACCAGCCCAAGAUGACGCCAGCAAGCCCGUCGUCCCUAAGGAUCUUCGGCUACGACGUGCCCGGCGGCGCCACCGACGCCGCUGCCGCCGUGCUGACUCCGCCGCCGACGCCGCCGGCCGACGCGCGGAGGUUCGGGUGCCAGUACUGCUCUCGCGAGUUCGCCAACUCGCAGGCGCUGGGCGGGCAUCAGAACGCGCACAAGAAGGAGCGGCAGCAGCUGAAGCGCGCGCGCCUGCACGUGGACGCCAGGAUGAGCUACUUCGCGCCGCCGCCGGGGCACCUGAUCGCCGUGGGACACGCAGGGUCGUCGGCCUACACGCGGGACGCCUUCCACAGAUGGGUCUACUUCGCGCACCAGUCAGCGGCGGGCCUGCCGUUCCAUGCUCUGCCGGCCGGUGGUGGGUGCCACGCCCAGCCGCGGCUGCUCCAGGAACCAAAGGAGGACUGCGGCAGUGCCGCCAUCAGCACCAGCAGUGGUGCUCGUGCCUGCACUCCAGCGGAUGACAGCACCGAGGAAGCCUCGGCGAUGGGGGUGGGGCUCGACCUCGAUCUCAGACUUGCUCCGGCCACGUCAUCGUGA